RNAcentral lists this ribosomal RNA (253 nucleotides) under uncultured bacterium. Its description in RNAcentral is "partial 16S ribosomal RNA". It matches the Rfam family "Bacterial small subunit ribosomal RNA", at positions 524 to 776 of the family's 1533-position model. The record is from RNAcentral.
UACGUAGGGUGCAGGCGUUAAUCGGAAUUACUGGGCGUAAAGCGUGCGCAGGCGGUUUCUUAAGUCAGAUGUGAAAGCCCCGGGCUUAACCUGGGAACUGCGUUUGAAACUGGGAGACUUGAGUGUGGCAGAGGGGGGUGGAAUUCCACGUGUAGCAGUGAAAUGCGUAGAUAUAUGGAGGAAUACCGGUGGCGAAGGCGGCCUCCUGGCUCGAUACUGACGCUGAGGUGCGAAAGCGUGGGGAUCAAACAGG